This 484-nucleotide ribosomal RNA is filed under the name uncultured bacterium. RNAcentral's name for it is "partial 16S ribosomal RNA". It matches the Rfam family "Bacterial small subunit ribosomal RNA", at positions 29 to 507 of the family's 1533-position model. The record is from RNAcentral.
AUUGAACGCUGGCGGCAUGCUUUACACAUGCAAGUCGAACGGCAGCGCGGGCUUCGGCCUGGCGGCGAGUGGCGAACGGGUGAGUAAUACAUCGGAACGUGCCCAGUCGUGGGGGAUAGCUCGGCGAAAGCCGGAUUAAUACCGCAUACGACCUGAGGGUGAAAGCGGGGGAUCUUCGGACCUCGCGCUAUUGUAGCGGCCGAUGGCAGAUUAGCUAGUUGGUGGGGUAACGGCCUACCAAGGCGAAGAUCUGUAGCUGGUCUGAGAGGACGACCAGCCACACGGGGACUGAGGCACGGCCCAGACUCCUACGGUAGGCAGCGGUGGGGAAUUUUGGACAAUGGGCGAAAGCCUGAUCCAGCAAUGCCGCGUGUGUGAUGAAGGCCUUCGGGUUGUAAAGCACUUUUGGCGGGAACGAAAAGGACUGUGCCAAUACCACGGUUCGAUGACGGUACCCGCAGAAUAAGCACCGGCUAACUACGUG